RNAcentral lists this small RNA (402 nucleotides) under Rattus norvegicus (Norway rat). RNAcentral describes it as "uncharacterized LOC108349026". The record is from RNAcentral. Lineage: Eukaryota; Metazoa; Chordata; Mammalia; Rodentia; Muridae.
CUUUGGGUGUAAACAGAAAAGAAAUAGAAUUAAGAGGCAAGAGGUAACUGUAGUCGAGCAGUUCUGAAUAAGGAUUUGGAAGCCUCAUCUACAUCUCCAGAAUUUAAGUUUGCCCAAGAGCGACCAUUCUCCCAGGCAUGAUGAUAAUAGAUUAAACCUCUGAAAGGUUUUUCAGGAGCUUUUGAUGUCUACCACCCACUGGUCUAAGGCUUGGAGAUGGUUACUGAGGAUCUUGGACAAGUCUGGGAGCACUUUGGGAAUGGAAAACCAUAAUCAGAUGAUAAAUUACAUGAAAAAUUUAUUGAAAAACAUAAGACAGAAGAGGAUUCACUCUUUGGAUGGACUCAAAAUUAAUUUUAGCACAUUUCUUGUAUUCUCUAUCAAAUCAUGAUUAAAGAACAA